Molecule: ribosomal RNA, 468 nt
Filed under: uncultured bacterium
Lineage: Bacteria
Description: partial 16S ribosomal RNA
Rfam family: Bacterial small subunit ribosomal RNA
Source: RNAcentral
GACGAACGCUGGCGGCGUGCUUAACACAUGCAAGUCGAACGGAAAGGCCCUGCUUUUGUGGGGUGCUCGAGUGGCGAACGGGUGAGUAACACGUGAGUAACCUGCCCUUGACUUUGGGAUAACUUCAGGAAACUGGGGCUAAUACCGGAUAGGAGCUCCUGCUGCAUGGUGGGGGUUGGAAAGUUUCGGCGGUUGGGGAUGGACUCGCGGCUUAUCAGCUUGUUGGUGGGGUAGUGGCUUACCAAGGCUUUGACGGGUAGCCGGCCUGAGAGGGUGACCGGCCACCUUGGGACUGCGAUACGGACCAGUCUCCUACGGGAGGCAGCAGUGGGGAAUAUUGCACAAUGGGCGGAAGCCUGAUGCAGCAACGCCGCGUGCGGGAUGACGGCCUUCGGGUUGUAAACCGCUUUCGCCUGUGACGAAGCGUGAGUGACGGUAAUGGGUAAAGAAGCACCGGCUAACUACGUG